This 463-nucleotide ribosomal RNA is filed under the name uncultured bacterium. Its description in RNAcentral is "bacterial SSU rRNA". It matches the Rfam family "Bacterial small subunit ribosomal RNA", at positions 335 to 795 of the family's 1533-position model. The record is from RNAcentral.
ACUCCUACGGGAGGCAGCAGUGAGGAAUAUUGGUCAAUGGACGCAAGUCUGAACCAGCCAUGUCGCGUGCAGGAUGACGGCCCUAUGGGUUGUAAACUGCUUUCGUACGGGAAGAAAAUAGGGUAUGUAUACCCUUUUGCCGGUACUGUACGAAUAAGCAUCGGCUAACUCCGUGCCAGCAGCCGCGGUAAUACGGAGGAUGCGAGCGUUAUCCGGAUUUAUUGGGUUUAAAGGGUGCGUAGGCGGAAUGGUAAGUCAGUGGUGAAAUGGUGCAGCUCAACUGUAGCAUUGCCAUUGAUACUGUCAUUCUUGAGUACAGAUGAGGUAGGCGGAAUGUAGCAUGUAGCGGUGAAAUGCUUAGAUAUGCUACAGAACACCGAUAGCGAAGGCAGCUUACUAAAUUGAAACUGACGCUCAUGCACGAAAGCGUGGGGAUCAAACAGGAUUAGAUACCCUGGUAGUC